UGGGGGAUAUUGCACAAUGGGCGAAAGCCUGAUGCAGCGACGCCGCGUGGGGGAUGAAGGCUUUCGGGUUGUAAACCUCUUUCGCUAUCGAACAAGGCCCGCUUAGGGUGGGUUGAGGGUAGGUGGAGAAGAAGCGCCGGCUAACUACGUGCCAGCAGCCGCGGUAAUACGUAGGGCGCGAGCGUUGUCCGGAAUUAUUGGGCGUAAAGGGCUUGUAGGCGGCUUGUUGCGCCUGCUGUGAAAACGCGGGGCUUAACUUCGCGCGUGCAGUGGGUACGGGCAGGCUUGAGUGUGGUAGGGGUGACUGGAAUUCCAGGUGUAGCGUUGGAAUGCGCAGAUAUCUGGAGGAACACCGAUGGCGAAGGCAGGUCACUGGGCCAUUACUGACGCUGAGGAGCGAAAGCAUGGGUAGCGAACAGG
Molecule: ribosomal RNA, 420 nt
Filed under: bacterium
Lineage: Bacteria
Description: partial 16S ribosomal RNA
Rfam family: Bacterial small subunit ribosomal RNA
Source: RNAcentral